CCUCUCCUCUUUCCCUUCCAUUUGUGGACGACUGUUGUACCCUCUUUCACCAUCACAGACUUUGCUACUCCAUUCUCGUGCAACACUCUCCUCUAUCUCAUCCCUUUCCUCUUCCAAACAAGAAACCAUUUGUUUUCAGCCAUGGCAGAUUUUUGCCUUGCCAUUUUUUCUUAUAUACGAUCUGGUCAACACAAAUGGCCAAAAAACUUUUGAAAUUUCUGAAAAGAGAUCAACUUUAAAGAUUUGAUUCUGAUUUCAAACGGAUAUCACUCCAGAUCCCGCCCAAAAACAAGUGGAAAACCCUAGGGUUUUGUCUACUAUAUAUAUACGGCCUUAAGUCCACAGCAAGGGGGGACGAUACAAUAGCUGCACAUAUUUUUCAAAAUCUUUUAUCUUCUAAGAUUACCCCCUUUAAUCUCAGUUUUUGCUUUAGUCGUAAUAGAGAUUUAGAAUGCAUUUGGGUUUCGAGUUUUGAAUCUAAUCAUAACGAGAGAGUAGAUUCGACGCCGACGACCUCAGUUCACUACACCCGCGAGAGCGAAUGGAGUCUUCAUAAAGACUCAUUAUCCGAACAGUCUCAUUUUGAGAUUCUGCGGCAUUUGUACCUUGCAUGCACAUUCCCAUUCAGCUCUCAUUCUCUCGACAUUCAUCUGAACAGAAUACAAAGAGAGUGGCUAGCCAAACGGCGAACCACUGGAAACUUUACUUUUCUAUGGGAGCCAAAUAUGGCUUUAGUCGUCUUAUUUUCAUUCUCUGAUGCUUGUUUAUACGUUUGGUGUGAUUAACAUUUUACCUAACUGUGCGAUUAUGAUAAAUACUUAAUUGCUUAGUUUAA
Lycium barbarum (goji berry) is the source of this 835-nucleotide long non-coding RNA. RefSeq lists it as uncharacterized. NCBI's taxonomy places the organism in Eukaryota, Viridiplantae, Streptophyta, Magnoliopsida, Solanales, Solanaceae. The transcript is spliced from 2 exons. The record is from RefSeq and is a predicted model, not a curated record.